UGCUCAGCUGUAUUUGCUGGUC
This 22-nucleotide non-coding RNA is filed under the name Arabidopsis thaliana (thale cress). Lineage: Eukaryota; Viridiplantae; Streptophyta; Magnoliopsida; Brassicales; Brassicaceae. The record is from RNAcentral.